GAGUUCAUGCCCUUCGGGGUAGAUCUCCCACCCUUUGUAUACCAUACCUCUGUUGCUUUGGCGGGCCGCCUAGCUACUGGCUUCGGCUGGUAAGUGCCCGCCAGAGGACCCAAACUCUAAUGUUUCUUAUUGUAACUUCUGAGUAAAACAAACAAAUAAAUCAAAACUUUCAACAACGGAUCUCUUGGUUCU
This 192-nucleotide unclassified non-coding RNA is filed under the name rhizosphere metagenome. RNAcentral describes it as "partial ribosomal RNA internal transcribed spacer region". The record is from RNAcentral.